Long non-coding RNA from Xenia sp. Carnegie-2017, 168 nucleotides. RefSeq lists it as uncharacterized. The record is from RefSeq and is a predicted model, not a curated record. The transcript has 4 exons. NCBI's taxonomy places the organism in Eukaryota, Metazoa, Cnidaria, Anthozoa, Malacalcyonacea, Xeniidae.
CUUGCUAGUUUUGAUGUCGUAUCCCUAUUUACUAACAUACCUGUUGACGAAACCAUCCACAUAAUAUCCAAAAGCAUUUUUAACAACCACCAGUACUUCAACGGACUCACUGCAACAGAAUUUGAAAAACUACUCUCUCUAGCUGAUGUACUCUGCUUUGAUAGCACU